This is a long non-coding RNA of Anolis carolinensis (green anole), 4438 nucleotides long. The record is from Ensembl. Lineage: Eukaryota; Metazoa; Chordata; Lepidosauria; Squamata; Anolidae.
AUCCGUAUUUAUUAACAUUUAUUAUUUUUCCUCUAUUAUUAUCGGUAAUUAUUACAUUUAUUAUUUUUACUCUAUUAUUAUUGGUAAUUAUCACAUUUAUUAUUUUCUCCACUAUUACAUUUUAUUAUUAUUUCUCUAUUAUUAUUGGUAUUAUUACAUUUAUUAUUUUUUCUACUAUUAUUGGUAUUAUUACAUGUAUCAUUUUUUCUCUAUUAUAACAUUUAUUAUUUUUCUCUAUUAUUAUUGGUAUUAUUACAUUUAUUAUUUUUCUCUAUUAUAAUCGGUAUUAUUACAUAUAUUAUUUUUCUCUAUUAUUGUUGCUACUUUUACAUUCAUUUUACUCUAUUAUUAUUAUUAUUAUUAUUAUUACAUUUAUUAUUUUACUCUGAUCUUGUUAUUGCAUUUAUUAUUUUACUCUAUAUACUCUCGAGUUGUAGUCCAACCUUGUUUUUGUUUAUGUAUUAAUUUUAUUUCUGACAUUUCUGCCCGCUUUAGGCGAGGUCAACGUGGGCGGCAUCGUGGCCGCGGUGGUGGUCAUCCUCCUCGUCCUGGCGCUGGUCAUCCUCGGCGUCUGGUACGCCUACAGCCGCGGAUACUUCAGCAAAAGAAAAGAGUGAGUAGAAACUCAUCCGGUGGAGUCAUUUUCCCGGUUCAUUCUGCCCUUGGCACAAGGCCUCCCGACAACCACAUACGACUAAGUAGCUAUUUGUCGUUCAUUAUGUUUUCCUGUCUCAAAGGUAUUAAUUAACACUUGCAUCCUGCUGCGACUUAAUGAGAGAUAGGAUCCCCCCCCCUUUUUUUUUUUUUUUGGUCUAACUGUUUUGAGGAGGAGAGUUUGGCCUUUGGAAACAGUGGAGGGGGAAGACUACACGGUUCCCGCGCCGCCUCAUGAUUUCGACUUGAAUCCCCUUAAACUAUUGUUAUUUUUCUUCCUCUUUUGUCCUUUUACUUCCUCUUUCGUUUUCUAAUCCCUUUCCGGUCUCUUUUCAGCGGCUCCAACAAGAAGGUCAUUUACAGCCAGCCUUCCAGCCGCAGCGACGUAAGUAAACGAAAAUGAACGAACUCGCUCUCUGUUUCUCGGGAAAUUUUGAGCCCGUAAAAGGCAGUGACUCACAAGUUUCGACAUGAAAAUGCGUGACUCACCCUUGGACUCGAGUGAACGAGCAGCUGUUUAUCUCGAUACGGUUUGCGUGGUUGGAAGAGAAAAACGUCCGGGUGGAAGAUGUGCCAGAAAAGACCCAAAACCCAACAAGAAUAUCACCUCAAGUAUUGGCCUACAACAACAAUAAUAAUAUUAAUAAUAUAAUAUAAAAAAAUAAUUUAAAAGAAAUAAUAAUAAUAUAAAAUUAUAAUAAUUGUUAUAAUCUAUAUAUAUAUAUAAAAGAGUGAUGGCAUCACGGCGACCCACAAAACAACAAAACUACAGGCCCCCCAACCUCGAAAUUUGACAACACAACCCAUCAUCCACACCUCUAGGUUGAUACAACAAAAAGAAAAGAAAAAUAAAGUCCUAAUGACAGGGAGAGGAAUAAUAGUUUUUAUCCAAUUGCAGCCAGUUAGAAGGCUAAGCUCCGCCCACUUGGUCUGCUGACAGAAGGCUAAGCUCUGCCUACUUGGUCUCCUUGCAACCCACUCUGCCCAGGGCCUCAGUUUCGCUGUUUAGUUUGAAUUAGAAAUGGUCAGAACAUUAGAGAGUCAUCUCUGGUUGCUUGAGAGUUUGUAUUAAUACUAUGACAGUUGGCUCUCAUUUAACCGGCACCUGUGGGGAGCGGUUGAUGUUGGAUAACUGAGAGGUGACUAAUAACAGCAUGCACACUUGCCACACCGAGACUAUUCAGUGUAUUCCAGCUCACCAAACUAGGAUUACAAUAGGAAGAAAACGGCCACACUUUGCGGCUGCAAGGCUGUUCACUGCUAAUCCACCUGGCCAACAAACAAAUCCAAAAAGCCACAGCAACGCGUGGCCGGGCACAGCUAGUAAUAUUACAUAAUACUAUAAAAUACUAAUACUAAUAACAUAAAAUAAAUAAUAAAAAUAAUAUUAGAAAGCGUGCCUAUCAUUUGAGUUGUGCUCCUUACUAAAUAUAUCUUGAGGCUCAUAUUAAUUGCCUCUGUCCAUGGUAGAGUCUUUGUUUUCUGUAUUUAAUUUAAUUUAAUUACAUUUAAUUUCUCUCUCCACUUUCCAGGGCGAAUUCAAACAGACGUCUUCCUUCUUGGUCUGAAGCCCGACUACGAUCCGGCCUCGUCUUCCUGUUGUAAAUGUUCUCUUGACGAUCUUUUGUAAUUAAGUGUGAUUUUAAAACAGAUUUUUUUUUAAAAGGAUUUAGUGUGACAUGUCAAGACCUUCCGAGAAAUGCCUUAAAUCUGAUUAAUCUUGAGUUGAUACGAGACGCCGGACAGACAGCUCCGCCUUGUGUGCCUUUAUAAAUACACAUAUUAUUAUUAUUAUUAUUAUUAUUAUUAUUUGUAAUUUUAUAUGCUGGACGAGAAAAUAAAGGUCGAGUCUCUUUGGGCCUCCGAUCCCGUGUUUGCCGGUGUUUUGGGUCCGAUAGGAUGGGUUCGUCUCCAAAGGUUUAGUUGUAAAAAAAUAAGGUUUGAAGAAGAACGUUCAUAACAACGUAACAUUGUGAAGGUGGUUAUAAGGAAAAUUGUGGAAUUAGAGCAACCUGACUUAUUCGGUCGUUUGUGUGAAAUAAAUUGUAAGGAGAAUUGCGAAACGUUUGCAACCUGAACGUCAGUCGUUCUCAUGAAAUAAAUUGUAAGGAAAAUUGCGAAAUUUGCACAACCUUAAGUUCGGUCGUUCUGUUGAAAUUUGUUGUAUGGAAAAUUGGGAAUUGAUAGCAAAAUUCUAAGGAGAAUUGCAAAAUUUAAGUCAUUCUAGUGAAAUAAAUUAUAAGGAGAAUUGCAAAACGUUUGCAACCUGAACGUCCGUCGUUCUCGUGAAAUAAAUUGUAAGGAAAAUUGUGAAAUUUUCACAACCUUAACUUCGGUCAUUCUGUUGAAAUUUAUUGUAUGGAAAAUUGGGAAAUGAUAGCAACCUAACUUCAGUCGUUCUCGUGAAAUAAAUUGUAAGGAGAAUUGCAAAAUUUCAGUCAUUCUAGUGAAAUAAAUUAUAAGGAGAAUUGCAAAAUUUUUACAACCUCAUCCAGUUGUUCUCGUGAAAUAAAUUGUAAGGAGAAUUGCAAAAUUUUUGCAUCCUUAUCCGGUUCUCGUGAAAUAAAUUGUAAGGAGAACUGCAAAAUCUUGGCAAGCGUAAUCAGUCAUUCUAGUUCAAUCAACUGCAAGGACGAUUGGGCAAUCACAGCCACCUGGUUCUGGUCGUUCUGGUCAAGGAAGUUCUAGGGGAAAUGGGGUCCCUGGCCUGUCUGCCUGGGCUUCUGCUGACCUCACACUGGGAUGUCCUUCUUGGCCAAUCGAAGGACGCGAGUAGUCUCUAUGGCAGCCCCAUCCUGGCCUGAGGAAGGAGCAACCUGUCGCUGACCCUCCGGAUUGUCCGGCCAUGGAGACGCUUCACGCGUGUGGGGGGCGCAAGUGGCGUGAGUAUCCGGAGGGGGGGCGGGUUCCAACAGGUUUUAUUGUACCAAAUACCAGAACCUUCUCUUUGGCCCACAUAUAUAGGGGCUCUCACAUACCAGAGGGUCAUUGAGGUUUUAUGGCUGGCCUGUUUUAUGGCUGGCAUCUGUUCUUUGUCAGCCAACCAGAGAUGUCACAGAUUGGAGAUCAUGACAUAACAGGUUUUAUUGUACAGAAUACCAGAACCUUCUCUUUGGCCCACUUAUAUAGGGGCUCUCACAUACCAGAGGGUCAUUGAGGUUUUAUGGCUGGCAUCUGUUCUUUGUCAGCCGACCAGAGAUGUCAAAGAUUGGAGAUCAUGACAUAACAGGUUUUAUUGUACAGAAUAUCAGAACCUUUUCUUUGGCCCACUUAUAUAGGGGCUCUCACAUACCAGAGGGUCAUUGAGGUUUUAUGGCUGGCAUCUGUUCUUUGUCAGCCGACUGGAGAUGUCAAAGAUUGGAGAUCAUGACAUAACAGGUUUUAUUGUACAGAAUAUCAGAACCUUUUCUUUGGCCCACUUAUAUAGGGGCUCUCACAUACCAGAGGGUCAUUGAGGUUUUAUGGCUGGCAUCUGUUCUUUGUCAGCCGACUGGAGAUGUCAAAGAUUGGAGAUUAUGACAUAACAGGUUUUAUUGUACAGAAUACCAGAACCUUCUCUUUGGCCCACUUAUAUAGGGGCUCUCAUAUACCAGAGGGUCAUUGAGGUUUUAUGGCUGGCAUCUGUUCUUUGUCACAGAUUGGAGAUCAUGACACGUGGCCAUACACAACAGCCCAAUUCUUAGUUUGGAUGCAGUCCAAACGUGGUUGUGCGACCGUCUCCCGGGUCAACUGGGCGGUGAGUCUCUGCCGGUCUUCCUCUUCCAGGCUGACCGAUUACCGUCUU